RNAcentral lists this ribosomal RNA (254 nucleotides) under uncultured bacterium. RNAcentral's name for it is "partial 16S ribosomal RNA". It matches the Rfam family "Bacterial small subunit ribosomal RNA", at positions 524 to 777 of the family's 1533-position model. The record is from RNAcentral.
UACGGGGGGGGCUAGCGUUGCUCGGAAUCACUGGGCGUAAAGCGCACGUAGGCGGAUUGCUAAGUCAGGGGUGAAAUCCUGGAGCUCAACUCCAGAACUGCCUUUGAUACUGGCAAUCUCGAGUCCGGGAGAGGUGAGUGGAACUGCGAGUGUAGAGGUGAAAUUCGUAGAUAUUCGGAAGAACACCAGUGGCGAAGGCAGCUCGCUGGGACGGUACUGACGCUGAGACGCGAAAGCGUGGGGAGCGAACGAGG